GCUACAGGCUUAACACAUGCAAGUCGAGGGGCAGCAUGGUCUUAGCUUGCUAAGGCCGAUGGCGACCGGCGCACGGGUGAGUAACACGUAUCCAACCUGCCGUCUACUCUUGGACAGCCUUCUGAAAGGAAGAUUAAUACAAGAUGGCAUCAUGAGUCCACAUGUUCACAUGAUUAAAGGUAUUCCGGUAGACGAUGGGGAUGCGUUCCAUUAGAUAGUAGGCGGGGUAACGGCCCACCUAGUCUUCGAUGGAUAGGGGUUCUGAGAGGAAGGUCCCCCACAUUGGAACUGAGACACGGUCCAAACUCCUACGGGAGGCAGCAGUGAGGAAUAUUGGUCAAUGGGCGCAGGCCUGAACCAGCCAAGUAGCGUGAAGGAUGACUGCCCUAUGGGUUGUAAACUUCUUUUAUAAAGGAAUAAAGUCGGGUAUGCAUACCCGUUUGCAUGUACUUUAUGAAUAAGGAUCGGCUAACUCCGUGCCAGCAGCCGCGGUAAUACGGAGGAUCCGAGCGUUAUCCGGAUUUAUUGGGUUUAAAGGGAGCGUAGAUGGAUGUUUAAGUCAGUUGUGAAAGUUUGCGGCUCAACCGUAAAAUUGCAGUUGAUACUGGAUAUCUUGAGUGCAGUUGAGGCAGGCGGAAUUCGUGGUGUAGCGGUGAAAUGCUUAGAUAUCACGAAGAACUCCGAUUGCGAAGGCAGCCUGCUAAGCUGCAACUGACAUUGAGGCUCGAAAGUGUGGGUAUCAAACAGGAUUAGAUACCCUGGUAGUCCACACGGUAAACGAUGAAUACUCGCUGUUUGCGAUAUACAGCAAGCGGCCAAGCGAAAGCGUUAAGUAUUCCACCUGGGGAGUACGCCGGCAACGGUGAAACUCAAAGGAAUUGACGGGGGCCCGCACAAGCGGAGGAACAUGUGGUUUAAUUCGAUGAUACGCGAGGAACCUUACCCGGGCUUAAAUUGCAGAUGAAUUACGGUGAAAGCCGUAAGCCGCAAGGCAUCUGUGAAGGUGCUGCAUGGUUGUCGUCAGCUCGUGCCGUGAGGUGUCGGCUUAAGUGCCAUAACGAGCGCAACCCUUGUUGUCAGUUACUAACAGGUUCCGCUGAGGACUCUGACAAGACUGCCAUCGUAAGAUGUGAGGAAGGUGGGGAUGACGUCAAAUCAGCACGGCCCUUACGUCCGGGGCUACACACGUGUUACAAUGGGGGGUACAGAGGGCCGCUACCACGCGAGUGGAUGCCAAUCCCAAAAACCUCUCUCAGUUCGGACUGGAGUCUGCAACCCGACUCCACGAAGCUGGAUUCGCUAGUAAUCGCGCAUCAGCCACGGCGCGGUGAAUACGUUCCCGGGCCUUGUACACACCGCCCGUCAAGCCAUGGGAGCCGGGGGGUACCUGAAGUGCGUAACCGCGAGGAGCGCCCUAGGGUAAAACUGGUGACUGGGGCUAAGUAG
Molecule: ribosomal RNA, 1446 nt
Filed under: uncultured organism
Description: SSU rRNA
Rfam family: Bacterial small subunit ribosomal RNA
Source: RNAcentral